UGCCGCAAACAGUAGUACUUUGUUAUUUUCCACCAUUCUAUUUAGAUCAUUUUAGUAUUAAGUUUGUGAAGCAGGAUAAAUAAAACCAAAUAAACAAUAUUAUCUUGAAAUAAUUCAUGCUACUGUCAGAAUGUGAAGUCGAUUGUCUUUAAAUAACCUGGUUUAUUGUGGAAAAUUAUUUUUAGCUACAGCUGUUCGUGAUCUACGCCAAAUUGGUCCAUUAAUGGCUUGUGAAAUAUUCAAAAAGUAUUUUAUUCAUGCAGUUUGACAGUGACUUCAAAUACGGCUCACACACGUUUCGUUUUUGGCAUUUUCAGUUGCUAAGCUCAUAAAUACGCGGCGCAUUGGUUUUCAAUUUGAACACAUGUUUGGGCCAAGAUUUGUAUUGGUUCCGAUUAUGUGAGUGUGAGUCGGUCUCGGCUUUAUGAUUGCGAGUACACAUGACAUACAUACAUAUAUUAUUGGCGGUCCUAUAAAGCCACUCGUCGCGUGUGUACGUUUAUUUAUUCGAAUAUUAUUCAAACAAUGGCGAGAAUGCCCCUAUAAACGUGAAAUUGAAUCAAUGUUAAUUCGAUCUAAAACACAUUGCGAAGCAGAAUCAAAUCUAUUUACAAUGUAAUUAAUGAGUACCAAGUAAAGUGACAACAGUCGAUGCCUCAAUAAACAACACGAGGACGAGGGCUUUCAAAUGACAGCCAGUGUGUAGAUGAAUAAAUAAGCCAUGACCACGCCCACAACACAUACUACGCAUACAUGCACAUAGGAUACGCGUAUCCGUAUGUACGAGUAAGCAUGCAUAUAUUGGUUAUCGACACAGAUGCGAUAUACGAGCAGUAAUAUCGUAUGAAUGUGGAACGCCCAUGGGAGGAAUAAAGAACUCGUACUCGUAUAUUCGUCACCAUUUGGUUACGCUAGCUCUGGGAUCAAAUCGAAAAUGGUAAUGAGCCCUCCAGCCUUUUGGCAUUCCGAUGAAUAGAGCUGAGCCCCACAAGAAUACCGUAUACGCUUAUACACAUACAUAUCCACGUUUAUAGGUAUUUACAUACAGACAUUCGCAUUCUCUCAUACUAAAUUUAUGUAUUGAAUUUCAACCGCUACUGUCAGUAAGCGUCGAGAACACACAUGAAUAAUAGCUGUUCUGGUUUCCUGAUUGUCAGACCAAGCUCUAACCUCAUAAUGCUAAUUGCGAUUAUAAUUAUAGCGACGUGAUCUCAUUCUCGAUGAUAUAUUACUUGCUUGCACUUGUAAUAGAAAAUUAUCAUGUGACUAUUUAAGGGGGAAAUAUCGUUAAAACUUAUAAAAUAUUAAAAACUAAAUGAAUACUUACGAAUAUUAAAUGCGAUAUGAAAAUGUCUUCAAAAGAUAGAUUAUUUAGAAUAAGUU
Molecule: long non-coding RNA, 1383 nt
Organism: Drosophila albomicans
Lineage: Eukaryota; Metazoa; Arthropoda; Insecta; Diptera; Drosophilidae
Exons: 4
Source: RefSeq, a predicted model, not a curated record